This 746-nucleotide ribosomal RNA is filed under the name bacterium S_D75_83. Its description in RNAcentral is "bacterial SSU rRNA". It matches the Rfam family "Bacterial small subunit ribosomal RNA". The record is from RNAcentral.
AACGCGUGGGAACGUGCCCAGAUCUAAGGAAUAGCCACUGGAAACGGUGAGUAAUACCUUAUACGCCCUUCGGGGGAAAGAUUUAUCGGAUUUGGAUCGGCCCGCGUUAGAUUAGGUAGUUGGUGGGGUAAUGGCCUACCAAGCCUACGAUCUAUAGCUGGUUUUAGAGGAUGAUCAGCAACACUGGGACUGAGACACGGCCCAGACUCCUACGGGAGGCAGCAGUGGGGAAUCUUGGACAAUGGGGGCAACCCUGAUCCAGCCAUGCCGCGUGAGUGAUGAAGGCCUUAGGGUCGUAAAGCUCUUUCGCCUGUGAUGAUAAUGACAGUAGCAGGUAAAGAAACCCCGGCUAACUCCGUGCCAGCAGCCGCGGUAAUACGGAGGGGGUUAGCGUUGUUCGGAAUUACUGGGCGUAAAGCGCGCGUAGGCGGAUUAGUCAGUUAGAGGUGAAAUCCCAGGGCUCAACCCUGGAACUGCCUUUAAUACUGCUAGUCUUGAGUUCGAGAGAGGUGAGUGGAAUUCCGAGUGUAGAGGUGAAAUUCGUAGAUAUUCGGAGGAACACCAGUGGCGAAGGCGGCUCACUGGCUCGAUACUGACGCUGAGGUGCGAAAGUGUGGGGAGCAAACAGGAUUAGAUACCCUGGUAGUCCACACCGUAAACAAUGAAUGCAUCGUCGGCAAGCAUGCUGUCGUGACCACCUACGAUAACAUCCCCUGGGAAUACGUCCCAGAUUAACUCAGGAUUGC